Molecule: non-coding RNA, 964 nt
Filed under: Pan troglodytes (chimpanzee)
Lineage: Eukaryota; Metazoa; Chordata; Mammalia; Primates; Hominidae
Source: RNAcentral
AGCGCGCGGCUGCGGCGCGGGAAGCAACCCAGAGCCCUCCUCCUGCCUGCUCUGUGUAGGAGACAGCCUGCGGAGCCCACUGCCGGCACGCAGAGAGCCCAGCAGCUCUUGAGUCCAGGAAGCAAGGGUGGGAGGAGGGACGAGCCAGUGGCAAUGACCCAGACCCGGAUGACCCCCAUUGCUGAGCCAGCGGAGCUGCUUGGCUCAAGCAGAGUCUUCCUCCUGGUGUUCCAGCAGGAGUUCAAGGUCCUGCUCCCUAUAGGAUAGCUAGAUUCUGAGGGCAAUGUUGAGAUCCUCAUCUCCAGAAGGUGCUGGUGCCAGAAAUAUGACAAAAGGCUGAUUGACGGGCCAGGCGCGGUGGCUCACGCCUGUAUUCCCAACACUUUGGGAGGCCAAGGCGGGUGGAUCAUGAGGUCAAGAGUUCGAGACCAUCCUGGCCAAUAUGGUGAAACCCUGUCUCUACUAAAAAUACAAAAAAUUAGCUGGGCGUGGUGGCACGCAUCUGUAGUCCCAACUACUUGGGAGGCUGAGGCAGGAGAAUUGCUUGAACCGGGAGGAGGAGGUUGCAGUGAGCAGAGAUCGUGCCACUGCUCUCCAGCCUGGGCAGCAGACUGAGUGAGAUUCCGUCUAAAAAAAAAAAGAGGCCUGGUGUGGUGGCUCAGGCCUGUAAUCCUAGCACUUUGGGAGGCUGAGGCAGGUAGAUUGCCUGAGGUCAAGAGGUCAGGACCAGCCUGUCCAACAUGGUGAAACCCCAUCUCUACUAAAAAUGCAAAAAUUAGCCAGAUGUGGUGGCACAUGCCUGUAAUCCCAGCUACUUCGGAGGCUGAGGCAGGAGAAUCGCUUGAACCCAGAGUGUGGAAGUUGCAGUGAACCAAGAUCAUGCCACUUCACUCCAACCUGGGCGAAAGAGCAAAACUUCAUCUCAAAAAAAGAAAAGUAUUAAAAAAAAAAAAAAUAACAACAA